Molecule: long non-coding RNA, 966 nt
Filed under: Monodelphis domestica (gray short-tailed opossum)
Lineage: Eukaryota; Metazoa; Chordata; Mammalia; Didelphimorphia; Didelphidae
Description: lncRNA (ENSMODG00000048734.1)
Source: RNAcentral
CUAUCCUGCAGUCUCCCACUGCCUUUGCCUUGGAUUUGGGAGAAUACUGCUAUAAACAUAGGGGAUAUGUGGGAGAUAAUGCUGAUGCAUCAUCUCCAAAAAAAAUGGCAUCAUGGGAGGAGGGCUACAUUUGUAGUAAGGGAGCCUGAUUUAAGAUCUUAACUGCUUCUUAACAUAUGUGUGACUAUAGGUAAGUUAAUUAACCAAUUUGGGCCUCAGUUUCCUUAGUUGCUAAAUAAGGAAGCUGUACCAGAAUCUAUGGUCCUUUCCAACUCUAAAUCUAUUAUAUGAAGUAGUAUCAUUUUAGAAGUCAGUUUGGUAGUGGGGAGGAGAGUUUCUUAGGUCCUUGAAUCUACUCUAUUUAGGGAAGUCAUUAAUCAUCAGUUGGGAAUUUUAGAGCAGGAUUUAUUCAUGUUUCUCAUUCUUCCUACUCCCUAGAUUCCUGCCUUUCCCAAAGAGAAGAUCUAGGAAGACCAGGUGAUGGUGGCCAUGACUCUGACAUCUAGGGUCUUGAUAAUGGAAACAUCUGGAUACCCACCAAGCACAUCACGCCAUGUGGCACAGGGCCAGGAAGAGAAGCGAAGCAGAAGAACAACACAGAUGACAUGGAUCACCAGCAGACCAGCCACACUCAAGGCACACCUGACGAGAUGCUCACAGGUGACAACACACAUGUCAAAGACUGACAUUACACCUAUCUUAGUUAUAUUCACUAUUAUUGCACUGAUGGACACUUGUCAUGCUGAAAUCUAUUGGUCUAUUAUAUCUAAACCUCAAGUAUUAAGAAUGUCAACUUGGAUUAACAAGCCCCCACUUGUGUAUGUUAAUGACACCAAAUGGCCAUCAUACCCAGUUUUAGCCAAAGACAUUACCAUGGAGUCAGAAGGGACUAGCUAUAAUUAUUCAGGCACUACUUUAUACCCUUCAUUUUGUAUAUCUACAGUAUGUACUGACAAAAAGAAUUAA